Molecule: ribosomal RNA, 465 nt
Filed under: uncultured bacterium
Lineage: Bacteria
Description: partial 16S ribosomal RNA
Rfam family: Bacterial small subunit ribosomal RNA
Source: RNAcentral
CCUACGGGAGGCAGCAGUAGGGAAUCUUCCACAAUGGGCGAAAGCCUGAUGGAGCAACGCCGCGUGGGUGAAGAAGGUCUUCGGAUCGUAAAACCCUGUUGUUAGAGAAGAAAGUGCGUGAGAGUAACUGUUCACGUUUCGACGGUAUCUAACCAGAAAGCCACGGCUAACUACGUGCCAGCAGCCGCGGUAAUACGUAGGUGGCAAGCGUUAUCCGGAUUUAUUGGGCGUAAAGGGAACGCAGGCGGUCUUUUAAGUCUGAUGUGAAAGCCUUCGGCUUAACCGGAGUAGUGCAUUGGAUACUGGGAGACGUGAGUGCAGAAGAGGAGAGUGGAACUCGAGGUGUAGCGGUGAAAUGCGUAGAUAUAUGGAAGAACACCAGUGGCGAAGGCGGCUCUCUGGUCUGUAACUGACGCUGAGGUUCGAAAGCGUGGGUAGCAAACAGGAUUAGAUACCCUUGUAGUC